AUGCACGCUGGCGGCGUGCCUAAUACAUGCAAGUCGAGCGAACAGAUGAGGAGCUUGCUCCUCUGACGUUAGCGGCGGACGGGUGAGUAACACGUGGACAACCUACCUAUAAGACUGGGAUAACUUCGGGAAACCGGAGCUAAUACCGGAUAAUAUAUUGAACCGCAUGGUUCAAUAGUGAAAGACGGUUUUGCUGUCACUUAUAGAUGGAUCCGCGCCGCAUUAGCUAGUUGGUAAGGUAACGGCUUACCAAGGCAACGAUGCGUAGCCGACCUGAGAGGGUGAUCGGCCACACUGGAACUGAGACACGGUCCAGACUCCUACGGGAGGCAGCAGUAGGGAAUCUUCCGCAAUGGGCGAAAGCCUGACGGAGCAACGCCGCGUGAGUGAUGAAGGUCUUCGGAUCGUAAAACUCUGUUAUUAGGGAAGAACAAAUGUGUAAGUAACUAUGCACGUCUUGACGGUACCUAAUCAGAAAGCCACGGCUAACUACGUG
RNAcentral lists this ribosomal RNA (496 nucleotides) under uncultured bacterium. RNAcentral's name for it is "partial 16S ribosomal RNA". It matches the Rfam family "Bacterial small subunit ribosomal RNA", at positions 29 to 507 of the family's 1533-position model. The record is from RNAcentral.